UUUUUUUUUUUUUUUUUUUUUUGCCAUUUCUUGGGCUGCUCCUGCGGCAUAUGGAGGUUGCCGGGCUAGGGGUCGAAGCGGAGCUGUAGCUGCCAGCCUACGCCAGAGCCACAGCAACGCAGGAUCCGAGCCACGUCUGCGACCUACACCACAGCUCAAGGCAACGCCGGAUCGUUGAGCAAGGGCAGGGAUCGAACCCGCAACCUCAUGGUUCCUAGUCGGAUUCGUUAACCACUGCGCCAUGACGGGAACUCCCUGGCUGUUUUAUAACACACAUAGUGUAUUAAUUCAGUAGUACACACACACACACACACACACACACACACACACACAAACACACGUGUGUAUAGUAAGUCCUCAAUUUUAUUUUUAAUUUACUGCUAGGAAUUUCUGAUAAUAAAGUUUGGAAACUACCACUUUAGAGCAAGGAAAGCUAUUCUUUGAGGCAGGAACCACAUCUCUUUCUUAUUUUGUUUUCUGUUGAGAAAGCGAUGAGCUCCUCACAAUGGCCAUCACUAUAUGGCCUGAUCUCUUGGCGGACCCGCUUGCUUUAUGAAGCAGACCUGGUGCACAUACUUUCUCCUCCUCCCAGGAUGCCUCAGCUGCUCCAUAAUCACCCAGGAGACUUGAGAAGAGCUUGAAAAGCCAAGAGAAAUGUGGGUAUAGGGGAACAGUCUCUCUUCAGCUUUGCUGACUUUUGCUAAGAUAGAUGGCUUGUCCAGAGAUAGCCAGUGUUACUCCACUCCAAUUUUUGCAUGCUUUCUUUUCCAGCUCUUGUGAAUUUUUGCUUCCCCUUCUGUGCCAAAUAAACCAGAACAGUGAGACUCAGCCUGAAAUCACAGGCUCCUGGACCUCUAUGCUUGUUUUGAAAUUUGAAGGAAACCACCAAUUCUAGAUAAUCCCCAUUUGAUUGGAAAAGGGGAACAGAGCUUGUAACAGAUUUCAGAGAUUUCCUAAGGAUAUCUUCCCUGACCAUGAAAGCUAUUUAAGAUUAACUUGGCGAGGACAGCCAUGUUCCGGAGGGAUUCAGCCACAGUUUGGGGACCAAAGCCUGGGCAAUCAGUCAUCCUGGCCACGUUCUCUACAAGCACUCUUCCGCAGCCACCCAGGGAGCGAAAGACAGGAAGACCCAGAGAGGCUCUGCCCCUGGCAAAAAAGUGUUCAGAUAAACCUACUCCCUUCAUCAGUGUUUUAACGAAUUCUGCCCCCUGUUUUAACAAGAUGUGCCUAAGGCUUCACAGUCUGAAAAUUAGUUUCUAUAUACUUCAAUACUGUACCUAGACUUUUUUGUACAGUCUUUAGUCAGCAACUUCCAAUUAAGAAAUAAGUAGGGAGUUCCCACUGUGGCUCAGUGGGUGAAGAACUCGACAUAGCCUUCGUGAAAAUGCAGGUUCACUCCCUGGCCUUGCUUAUUAGUGGGUUAAGGAUCUGGCUUUGCUGCAAGGUGCAGUGUAGGUCACAGAUCUGGCUGGCUGUGGCUGUGGUGUAGGCCUGCAGCUACAGCUCCCACUCAACCCCUGGCCUGGGAACUUCCUUAUGCUCCAGGUGCAGCAGUAAAAGGGAAAAAGAAAAAAGAAAUAAAUAGUAAGCCUUAAUAGCACUGAAAUAUACUAUCAGAUUAUUUAUUCUUUCCUCUCUUCUUCUGAAAGCAUAUCUCAAUGUAUCAUCUCUUUUUAUUUUCGUGCCAGUCUUCUGAGGAAGCUCAUCCUAGGAUAGUUAUGAACAUCUUCUCACCCUCCAUAUUGUCAAAUCUUUUGGGAACCUCCGGCCACUUGCUCAGUUCAAAGUCUUACUCCUCUCAAGAGUACCUGUGUUGAAAUCAGGGAAGAGAAAUAAAUGGUCCAAGGUGAACAGCAAGACCCCCUUAAAUGAGUACCCCACAGAAGACUGGUUCCUUCUUUAACAUAAGCGAGGGCUGUGUUGUUUGCUUGAAUCUGGAGAUGAAGGAACUGAGUGAGGUUCCACCACUAUUAUUAACAGCGAUAGCAAUAGAGAACUCGACUUGCAUAGCAUUUCCUCUAAGCCCACACUCUUCUAAGUGCUUCACACAGAUUAAUCUGUGUAAUCCUCAAACAAUUUUAUGAUCCUAUUGCCCUUAUUUUCAGAUGAUGAAACUAAAGUCCUUAGAGGGUAAUUUGCCUGAGGUCACAAUAGCCACUGAAUGGCUGGAGUCACAACCUAGGCGUCUUAUCAGUGAUUUGUCCUAAAUCAUGAAGCCAGUCAGUGGCAAGAACGAGGACACUGAAUUUCGGUCAGGUCAAAUACACUUUUCCCUGGACUAAACUUUGCAUUCCCUGAUUUGGUUGCUUAUAACUUAUUUAACUUUUCAUAGCUUGAGCUACUUAUUCGAAGGGCCAGUUCUAACUUCACUUUGUGGCUGAAGGUUAGAAGUUCUGUUUCUGUGCUGCCUAUACACUUCUUGGAGAAAUCAUUUUCCAGACUAGUUUAUUGGGAGAUCAUUUUGCUGGUCCAUUUCUGCAUGUAGCACUACAGACAAUGGAAUUCUAAGGAAUACCCCAGGUAGCAGAUUCUGAAACUCUGGGCUAAAUGGAAAGCACCAGAAAAGGCCUCGGGACAGGUAAACCACUCCACCUUUAAAGGCUUCCUGGGGAGACAGCAAUUCUACACAGGGCUCCUCCUUGUGUUUGACAACCGCUUUCCCUGGCAGCAAGUUCCCUUUUCUAAUCUGAAUCUUUCCAACUGCAGCUUAAUCACCAGUCCCUGAGUGCCCGCUAUGUGCCAGGCACUAAGAGUUUAUCUGCAUUAUCUCAUUCAAUCCUCUAAGCAACCCCAGGAAGGAAGUGUUGUUAUUAUCCCUCUUUUUUUUAGAUGAGGAAGCUACACACAGAUAGGUUAAGUAACCUGCCCAAAGUCAAACAAUUAGUUAGUGGCAUAGCCUAGAUGGGAAUAUAGACGACCCCCUCAGAAGAACAAUUUAUAACCAUUAUAACAGGCUGCCUCCCUGUUGAGGCUCCAUUUCCUGUGUACAAGACCCUGUCUAGAGAGAAGGGCUAUUUGUUGGUGUCUGGAUCAUAGGAUUGGAUGCCUGUUAUUGCAUUGGUUCUGCCUUUAAAAAACCCAAAAAACAAAAAAAACCCCACCCCAGAUAAUUAGCUUUGAAAAGCCCUUAAGUUCAAUGUUCAUUGAAUGUAGGAGGUGACUAAUUGUGGUUGGGAAUACUUUGCAGGGCAUGUGUAUAAUCACCGGCCGGAAUGGAUGAUGAAAGGCCAUUGUGGUCUCCCCUGCUGUGGGGCAGAGGUCCUUGUAGCCAGAUGGCCUGACUCCCGUGGUCCCAUGUUCCUGUGCUUCCAUAACCUUUGGUGCUCACCUGAUACCUCUGACAUCGUGCAUGCUCCUCUGAAGCUUCCUUUUUCAGUGAGAUGUGUAAGAUGAAGGGAUAUGGUGCCAAGUGGCUGGACCAGACCUAUACCUACCUGUGCAUUCCAGGAAGCAGGCCUUGUUUUCUAACAAUCUCACAAAAUGCUUUGGGAUUUCCAACAUUCCCAACCUCUUAUCACCAAAGGAGAAACAUUAUUGCUCUACCAAUAGAGCCCUAAUUUGUGUGACAGAAAUAGGGCAUCAUGUUGUUGGCAGACACUGUAAGUGCACUACACAGCAUUUCUUCAUGACUGUUAAAGUGACUUUACACAAAGAUGGUUCUAUACAUACCUCUCAGGACUGGAACGGAACUGGCUCAAUAAAUGUAAUAUGAAGAAUUAUGGUGGGCCCAGAUCUUUAAAAAAUUUUACUUUUAAGAAAUGCUGCACCUGGAAUAUAGCCAAUAUUUUAUAAGAACUUUGGAGUAUAAUCUAUAAAAAUCUUGAAUCACUAUGAAAUUAAUACCGUAAAUCAAUUAUUUAAAAAAUGCUGCACUUGAUGUUCCCUUCCGGCUGCCCAUUCCUUCACCUUACAGUCAGAUUAAUCUUUCUAAAACACAAACGUGAUCACAUCGCCUCCUCCUGAAAAACCCACGAGUCCCCAUUUCUGCCAGGCUGCAGUGCCGUGUUGGUGCGAAGCGCCAAGACCCCGCUUUGCUCUUUGCUCCACUUCUCUCCCGUUGCAAUUUACUCCAUAACUAUUCUUCUCUCCUGCUUCCUCUAACCUCCAGCCUCACACAAGCCCUUCCCUCUGCCUGGAACAAGCUCUCCUUUACCCUCCCCCAGGCCACACACUUCUCCUUUGUCUAAUACUGAGUCAUCUUUCCCUGGUCCUCACUCAAGCCCUCACACCCAUUAAACUGGGCCAGGGGCCUGUGAUGUGCUUCCCUCGCCCCAGCCCUUAUCACCCUUCAUCAUACUUACAUGGUUAAGUGGCCUCCUCCUUAGGCAGCUCUGUGAGGGCAGAAAACAGGUGUCUUACUCACUUUGCUGCAGAUGGGGUGUGGCAUAGAGUGGGACUCAGUAAAUAUCUACUGAAUGAAUAAAUGCACAAUAUUAUCUCCAGGAUCUAUAGAGCUGUUUCUGUCAGAACUUAAAAGAGGAUCCCACAAAAACUGCUAAUACCUGAACCAGGCUACUAGAGAGAGCUGAAGAAAUAGAUACAUAUAAACGUACAUACAUACACAUCCUCUUAACCAAACUCCUCAUCUGGACUCAAGGAGACAGCUACACUAUCACUGGGAAGCCUUCCACCCAAGUGAGCCAUCAGUCUUCUCCCAAACUCCCAACCACAGGAUGGCAGUAAUUCCUCUUCGCCCUACCUGGGAGUUCUCCAAAGAUGUUUGUCCUGGGUCAGUCUUAUGAUCAAAAGUGACAAAUGUGUCCAAAAUGGAACUGAAGCCAAUGUAUUCACUUCCUUAACCAGGGACUGAGAAGCACUCCUUUGGCAUGGGUUUUGUUUCAGACUUUGAUCUAGGAAUCAGUUUCCUGUUGCUAACAGCAUGCCAAACAUGUCUACAUUUCACCCAGACAUAUGUUCCAUCACUGAUUCUACUAAUGCAGUGGUUUUCAAAUAUCACUUUGUCUCCCACCCCCGCCCCACCUCACACCCCCAGAGAUAUUUGGCAAUGUCUGGAGUCAAUUUUGAUUGUCACAAUUUAGAAGGGAUGCUCCUGGCAUCUGGUGAGUAGAGCUAAGGGAGGCUGCCAAACCUCCUACAAUGCACAGGACAGCCCCUGUGCAAAGAAUGAGCUCACCCAAAAUGUCAGUGGUGUUGAGCAGCCCUGAGUCGGGGUGACACUCUGUAGCCACCUUAGCGCAAGAGAACCAGGCCCUGCUUGCCUGUGUGGUGUUUUCCAUGAUGUAUGAAAACAAAGAAGAGAAGAAUAAAUUAAAAAGCAAUAAGAAGACUGUGGUUCUUCCCCUGCCUGUGAUUUAGAAAUUAAGAUGCACAACCUAUCUCUACAAUAGAAUAUUUCAGUUUGGGGAGGCUUCCUAGGCAGAUCCCAGCCUCAAACCCAUGAAUCUGCUAUGGAAAUCUCUUAAUACGAGUCAUUUAGUGUGGAACUGAACAGACUCUUGAACAUGAAAAGAAGUUUUGGUGAAUUCAAAACCAUAUUUGUUUCACACUGAAAAUGUUCAGGUCAUUUUCUUUUCCUAAAGUAUAACCAUUUGGACAAAAAUAUCCAUUUGAUAUGCAGGUGAAAUGUAGAUUGCUACUCUUCUACACAGACAAUCCAGUGUAUUUAGACUUAAUCCAUAAAGGCAUGAUGUUACAAAACACAUUUGUAUAUUGUGAAGCCAUCUGGCAUCAAAUUUUCCAAUUUAUAGACAACUUUGUAUUUACAUAACAAAUUAUUAAAUCAACCAUUUUUUCGGUUUAUAAAAGGUCACUGCAGUACACACACAGUGUGUAUAAAAGCAGAUAAGGCUGAUAAUACAUAUUUACAGUAGAUACAAGUUAAUCUUUCAUAUUUGAAGAUAAUGCUUUUUAUAUAUUUUUUUCUAUAUCAGACUUCCCACUGUUAGCAGGAUUUCCCAUGCUUGAGUUGUUUAUUGCUUUUUGGCUCACUGAUUGAAUAUUCACUUCUGGGUUGUUUACACAUAUGAAUUACUAAUGUUCUUAUCUCUUUGGCUAAUGCAAAUGUGAUAGAGUGAAUGAAAGAAAAAGAUAGACUAAUUCAAUAUUACAGUUCUGGCUGAUUGAUAUUAUUUGCUUCUGGUCCCCAAAUGAAUCAAGUAAUGCACAACUCAUUUUAUACAUUACAUUGAAAAGUCUUGAGUCUUGCAUUACACCAUUUGGGCAUAAAUGGGCAAAACGAACAGGAUAUCAGAUUUUUGGUAAGGUCUAGAAUCUUGGCUUUCUUUACAGAAAGAGCAAUGUCACCAGCAUCUUAAUAUUUUAGAUUUAAAAAUAUCAAUGCAAAACCACUUGUGGCUUACAAGGGCACAUUGCAAACUGCAUGGAAGAUCACCAAAGUUAACGAAAACGUGUUACUGUGGUCUGAAAUGAAAAAAGAAUCACCUCAUGGGAUAAGUCAGCUGAGAAUCUUCAUAAAACUUACAGAAAGCAGAAUAACCACCCUCUACUUCUCCCCACAUUCUGCAGUGUUAUGUUCAAAAAAAGAAACUGUGUUUACUUAGAACACAGACAUAGCAAAUAACUCAAAGUCAGGGUUCAAAUGAAAGACUAAAAGUGGCCCAUGACAUCACAAGGGAUGAGUAUUCUUCUCAAAGAAUUUACAUGCACAAUGAGACUGAAAAGUACAAGCCAAAAAUGUCCCUCUAAAUAAAUAAAAACCGAUUGCUUUUAAUGCUACAAACAAGACAAAUUAAACAAAAGUUGCUCAAUUAGGUCUCACACAUUUGAAAUAAUCUUUAAAAACCACUGAAAAGUGUAGUUUAUUCUCCUUGUGCUUCCUAAAACUUUUAAAGGGCUCAAAGCAAAAUUAGAUUUCCUUUUCCAAGAGGGACUAUUACGUUUCUAAAGGUGCAAAAACUUUUCUUUCUGUUUCCAUUCUCAGAUUGGUUGAAAAAAAGUUUAUUUUCGGAAAUAAAAAAUGUACUAAGGUCAAAGGGCUAGGCUUCAUUUAAAAAAAAUGAAUUGGCUUUAAUACAAAGAUAAAGAAAUGGCUGUGUGGGCAAAAUUCAAGUAUGAGUGACCAAUGUUUUAAUUGUAAAGUAGGUGCAACAUUUAAAAAAAUGUUACAGCACUGCAUGACCUGUAAUGCUAACAAUAUUUGCAUUAACUGCUUACAUGAGAUUGAAUAACUAUUAAAAGAGAGGAAAAAAAAAAACCCACGUGGACUGAAACAACACCUAGCACCCACAUGAAGCCGCAAGCAACCAGUGACAUCAUGGGCACAAACAUACUUUACAUUGUCUCUGAUGUAAAGUAUACAUGGGUGAGAGAAACACAAACCUAAUUAGCUUAAAAUAGUAAAAAGAAGGCUUGGUAGACACAAACUCGGACUGUUGACAAAAAGCAAAGGUUAAAAAAACUUCUACAUAUCAACACCACCCCCCACAUAUAUGCAGACACUCCUAAAACACAAACACACGUAUGCUGUGAAUCUGUGAAGAAAAUCAACCAUGCGGAUGAACAGUAGAAAAGCAGAUUGAU
This 7500-nucleotide long non-coding RNA is filed under the name Sus scrofa (pig). RNAcentral describes it as "lncRNA (ENSSSCG00000061770.1)". The record is from RNAcentral. Lineage: Eukaryota; Metazoa; Chordata; Mammalia; Artiodactyla; Suidae.